This 75-nucleotide transfer RNA is filed under the name Candidatus Peregrinibacteria bacterium CG_4_10_14_0_2_um_filter_43_11. RNAcentral describes it as "tRNA-Glu". It matches the Rfam family "tRNA". Rfam says of the family: Transfer RNA (tRNA) molecules are approximately 80 nucleotides in length. The record is from RNAcentral. Lineage: Bacteria; Candidatus Peregrinibacteriota.
GGGGCCAUCGUCUAGUGGUUAGGACGCUAGGUUUUCAUCCUGGUAACAGGGGUUCGAUUCCCCUUGGCCCUACCA